This 30-nucleotide non-coding RNA is filed under the name Rattus norvegicus (Norway rat). Lineage: Eukaryota; Metazoa; Chordata; Mammalia; Rodentia; Muridae. The record is from RNAcentral.
UGCCCAUGCUAUAGCCUGAAUGUCAUGUGU